UUGGAGGGCAAGUCUGGUGCCAGCAGCCGCGGUAAUUCCAGCUCCAAUAGCGUAUAUUAAAGUUGUUGCAGUUAAAAAGCUCGUAGUUGAAUUUUAGACUUGAUCUCAUGGUCCAUCCAAUGGAUGAGUACUGUUUUGAUUGGGACUUCAUUUCUGAUAAACUUUUAUUCCCUUUAUUGGGUGUAAUAGGGAAGCAGGACCAUUACCUUGAAAAAAUUAGAGUGUUCAAAGCAGGCAAAAUUGCUCGAAUACAUUAGCAUGGAAUAAUAAAAUAGGACGGAUGAAUCUAUUUUGUUGGUUUCUAGGACCACCGUAAUGAUUAAUAGGGAUAGUUGGGGGCAUUAGUAUUCAAUUGUCAGAGGUGAAAUUCUUGGAUUUAUUGAAGACUAACUACUGCGAAAGCAUUUGCCAAGGAUGUUUUCAUUAAUCAAGAACGAAAGUUAGGGGAUCGAAGACGAUCAGAUACCGUCGUAGUCUUAACCAUAAACUAUGCCGACUAGGGAUCGGAUGAUGUUAAUUUUUUAAUGACUCAUUCGGCGCCUUACGGGAAAC
RNAcentral lists this ribosomal RNA (552 nucleotides) under uncultured Ambispora. RNAcentral describes it as "bacterial SSU rRNA". It matches the Rfam family "Eukaryotic small subunit ribosomal RNA", at positions 548 to 1098 of the family's 1831-position model. The record is from RNAcentral. Lineage: Eukaryota; Fungi; Glomeromycota; Glomeromycetes; Archaeosporales; Ambisporaceae.